Molecule: unclassified non-coding RNA, 1137 nt
Filed under: Hevea brasiliensis (rubber tree)
Lineage: Eukaryota; Viridiplantae; Streptophyta; Magnoliopsida; Malpighiales; Euphorbiaceae
Source: RNAcentral
CGCAUCACUCCAUAAAGACCGCCAAUCCACAGGUUCUUUAUACCCAUUUUACCUCUUUGACAGUUAAAAGACUUCAACAUAUUUACAAUGCCUUCAAUACUGAGUCUUGUACACGCAGGAACAAAUAGCUUUGUCAAAUGUGGAUUAGAGUCAAGAACCCGCCUCAAACCGUCAUCUGUGAUGCGGGUGCACUCUAACAAACUCAAGCAUUGUAAGUUACCUUGAGCCCUGCUAGUCAAUUGCAAAAGGAUAUCAUCGCUGAUCUCAGUCAAUGGAUUUUCAAUGUGAAUGCUUUUCCACAAUAAAGGAUCGGUUUUUACAGUAAGCCGCAAGGACCUACAAACACUUUCUACUGUCAAAAGAUCCUUCACUCCAAGGUAACCAAGAGCAAAAGAUAAAGCCUCAUGAGGGGCUCCUUCAUCUUUACCAGAGCAAGACGUCGCCCCAGACCCUGUUCCCAUGGUCAGGGGAAAAAAACUGACUGAACCUACAUUAUUUAAGCCUGCAGUGUCCCCCACAUUGCAAGCUGAGCCAAGACCAACAUGGGCCAAGGCGUCCCUCAUAUCUCUCUCCCCAAUAAGCAAACUCACUGGCUCACCUCUAUUCAGUUUGUCAUCAGACUGAACGUGAUUAAUAGGGAAUGAUUGGAACCUCAUAGAAUCGUUCCAUACAAAAUCAAAACCAGCAAUUAAACCACAGUCCUCAUUACUUGGACUGGCAUGGUUUCUCCUACAUCCUCCAUAAUCAACUUCCAAAUACUCAAGCCAACCCGUAAUGGCUGUGAUAGUGGUGCUUAUAUCCAUCCCAAAUGGAUCAGCAGGGAGAAGAUCAAUGAUAUCCUCCGAUACCGACUCCGAAUAAUCACACUUGUCUACUGUUUCCCUCCCAUAACCAUAUUCAAACCCGUCUCGCGGUUCUCGACAAACACGCCACGACCAAGCAAAAUUCUCCACAUUAUUCUCCGGAACACCCUCGACUAAACACCCAUUCACAAUUCUCAUGGGUGAUACCAAAUUAUCCUCAGAUAUAUGCGCCGGAAAUAUGGGCCGAUGCGAAAAAUUUAAUGCCAUAUAUGAUUUAGAUCAACUCUAACAACAGCCAAAAAGGAAUAAUCUAACACCUAAAAAUAGGAUUUUG